AGUCAAUAGAUACCCGGGUAGUCCAUGCCGUAAACGAUGAUUGCUAGGUGUGGGGGGUCUGACCCCUUCCGUGCCGGAGUUAAACACAAAUAAGCAAUCCACCUGGGGAGUACGGCCGCAAGGUUGAAACUCAAAGGAAUUGACGGGGGCCCGGCACAAGCAGUGGAGUAUGUGGUUUAAUUCGAAGCAACGCGAAGAACCUUACCAGGUCUUGACAUCCACCGAAUCCUGUAGAGAUACGGGAGUGCCCUUCGGGGAACGGUGAGACAGGUGGUGCAUGGUUGUCGUCAGCUUGUGUCGUGAGAUGUUGGGUUAAGUCCCGCAACGAGCGCAACCCUUGUGAAUAGUUGCUACGAAAGAGCACUCUAUUCAGACCGCCGUUGACAAAACGGAGGAAGGUGGGGAUGACGUCAAAUCAUCAUGCCCCUUAUGACCUGGGCUACACACGGUACUACAAUGGCCGUUAACAGAGGGAUGCGAUACCGCGAGGUUGGAGCGAACCCCGUAAAAACCGGUCCGUCAGUUCAGAUUGCAGGCUGAAACUCGCCUGC
Molecule: ribosomal RNA, 551 nt
Filed under: uncultured bacterium
Lineage: Bacteria
Description: bacterial SSU rRNA
Rfam family: Bacterial small subunit ribosomal RNA
Source: RNAcentral